This is a long non-coding RNA of Ornithorhynchus anatinus (platypus), 782 nucleotides long. RefSeq lists it as uncharacterized. NCBI's taxonomy places the organism in Eukaryota, Metazoa, Chordata, Mammalia, Monotremata, Ornithorhynchidae. The record is from RefSeq and is a predicted model, not a curated record. The transcript has 2 exons.
CCCUCCCCCUGGUGAUGGUCUCUCCCUUCCCCAGGCGGAAGCCGAGGCGGAGGCCGGCUCCCGGCCCGGCGCGCUGGUGCUGCGUCUCUACGAGUCCCACGGCAGCUCGGUGGUCACCUGGCUCCAGACCCCGAUCCCGCUGCGAGAGGCUCUUCUCUGUGAUCUCCUGGAGCGCCCGGCCCCCGGUUGGCCCCUGCCCGUGGAGGGCUGCCGCCUGAAGCUCUCCUUCUCCCCCUUCCAAAUCCUGACGGUGCGCCUCACCCUGCAGCCAGUGGACCCUCGGUCCUGACUCCCAGGCGGCAGCAAACGGACCGGCCUGCUCCAUGGCCUCUCCGGCUGGGGUAAUGAUGGGGAGUCCUGCUGCCCCCGGAUUGGGUGUGGCGUGAGAGCCGGCCCCCUCCCUCUCCUGUAGCCGCCCUUGGCUUCGGGAAGGAAAUAGCAGUGGGCUCAGGGCAGCUCCAGGCGCUGCUGGGUCCGGUCAACUGCCAACCCGCAGGGGGAUCGGGUGGUGCUUCUACCGGCCCCCCUUGCUCGAGCCGCAUCUCAGGUACAGGGAGCCGGCCCUCCUUCCCGGAAGACACCUUGACUUCCAGCCCAGCCAAGGGCCAAAACCAUGGCCUGAUAGUCCCUGUUGCGCUCCCCAGGGCCUCCAUCCCAACUGCAGGGCAGCUGUGGCCAGCUGGGGCCCCUCCCAAUGUGGCAGAGAGGUGGCAUGGGGGCCCUGCUGUGGGUGGGCACAACUCAGUCCAAUAAAGCGAUUACUCAGAAGCUCUCUCACCUUC